This 1568-nucleotide ribosomal RNA is filed under the name Gemella sp. oral clone ASCE02. RNAcentral describes it as "16S ribosomal RNA". It matches the Rfam family "Bacterial small subunit ribosomal RNA". The record is from RNAcentral. Lineage: Bacteria; Bacillati; Bacillota; Bacilli; Caryophanales; Gemellaceae.
AGAGUUUGAUUCUUGGCUCAGGACGACACUGCUGGCUGGCGUGCCUAAUACAUGCAAGUCGACGCGAAGUUUUUCUGGCUGCUUGCACCGGAAAAAGCUUAGGCGGCGAAGCAGGUGAGUAACACGUAAAGAAAGUGCCUCAUAGACUGGGACAACUAUUGGAAACGAUAGCUAAUACCGGAUAACAGCAUUAACUGCAUGGUUGAUGUUUAAAAGUUGGUGUUUGCUAACACUAUGAGAUGGCUUUGCGGUGCAUUAGCUAGUUGGUGGGGUAAAGGCUUACCAAGGCCGACGAUGCAUANCCGACCUGAGAGGGUGAUCGGCCACACUGGGACUGAGACACGGCCCAGACUCCUACGGGAGGCAGCAGUAGGGAAUCUUCCGCAAUGGGCGAAAGCCUGACGGAGCAACGCCGCGUGAGUGAAGAAGGAUUUCGGUUCGUAAAGCUCUGUUGUUAGGGAAGAAUGAUUGUGUANUAACUAUACACAAGUAGAGACGGUACCUAACCAGAAAGUCACGGCUAACUACGUGCCAGCAGCCGCGGUAAUACGUAGGUGGCAAGCGUUGUCCGGAAUUAUUGGGCGUAAAGCGCGCGCAGGUGGUUUAAUAAGUCUGAUGUGAAAGCCCACGGGCUCAACCGUGGAGGGUCAUUGGAAACUGUUAAACUUGAGUGCAGGAGAGAAAAGUGGAAUUCCUAGUGUAGCGGUGAAAUGCGUAGAGAUUAGGAGGAACACCAGUGGCGAAGGCGGCUUUUUGGCCUGUAACUGACACUGAGGCGCGAAAGCGUGGGGAGCAAACAGGAUUAGAUACCNCUGGUAGUCCACGUCCGUAAACGAUGAGUGCNUACGUGUUGGUCUCAUAAGAGAUCAGUGCUGCAGCUAACGCAUUAAGCACUCCGCCUGGGGAGUACGACCGCAAGGUUGAAACUCAAAGGAAUUGACGGGGACCCGCACAAGCGGUGGAGCAUGUGGUUUAAUUCGAAGCAACGCGAAGAACCUUACCAAGUCUUGACAUANCUGUGAGGACACAAGAGAUUGUGUUGUUCUGACCUUUGGUUAGACACAGAUACAGGUGGUGCAUGGUUGUCGUCAGCUCGUGUCGUGAGAUGUUGGGUUAAGUCCCGCAACGAGCGCAACCCUUAUAUCUAGUUGCCAAGCAGUAAGAUGGGGACUCUAGAUAGACUGCCAGUGAUAAAACUGGAGGAAGGUGGGGAUGACGUCAAAUCAUCAUGCCCCUUAUGACUUGGGCUACACACGUGCUACAAUGGAUAGGAACAAAGAGAAGCGAGCUCGCGAGAGUAAGCAAACCUCACAAAACUAUUCUCAGUUCGGAUUGUAGUCUGCAACUCGACUACAUGAAGCUGGAAUCGCUAGUAAUCGCGAAUCAGAAUGUCGCGGUGAAUACGUUCCCGGGUCUUGUACACACCGCCCGUCACACCACGAGAGUUUGUAACACCCGAAGACGGUGGCCUAACCUUUUAGGAGGGAGCCGGUCACGGUGGGACAGAUGAUUGGGGUGAAGUCGUAACAAGGUAGCCGUAUCGGAAGGUGCGGCUGGAACACCUCCUU